AGGAAACGUUACCGGUGGUUUAAUGCAAGGUGGGAUGAAUGGUGCCACCGUUGCUGUCGCCGCUGGUAACGGCACUGGAGUUGGUGGUCGUUGUAUCACUCGAUGGGAUGAAAAACUUGGAAUGAGAGUCAAAGUAACAGAC
Molecule: non-coding RNA, 142 nt
Filed under: Protocruzia adhaerens
Lineage: Eukaryota; Ciliophora; Spirotrichea
Source: RNAcentral